RNAcentral lists this long non-coding RNA (1771 nucleotides) under Medicago truncatula (barrel medic). Its description in RNAcentral is "lncRNA gene14821". The record is from RNAcentral. Lineage: Eukaryota; Viridiplantae; Streptophyta; Magnoliopsida; Fabales; Fabaceae.
UCCAGUAAGACAGUAGACUUUCGUGCUCUUUCUAUCUAUUUACAAUGACUGAGAGUCGCUCAAGCGAGCAGGCACGUAUAGGGCAGCGCCUUCUACCUUCCGAAAAUAGGAAAAGACCAGUCCUUCUACAUCUCAAGGGCAUGCCCUAUAGACCUAGUCUAUCGGCUAUAGCUGCAGCUAUGACUGACCAAUAAAUUGAAAGCUCUAACUAAAAAAGAAGUCCCAGGGCUUAUUCCCUUUUCAAGGUCUUGUAGCCAGACUGAUCCAGUCAUCUAUAUCUCGUUUCGCCCCUUUGGCUCUCUUGCUUAGUAUCCCAGUCCAAGAUCUUAUUGAAAGAGCCACAGCUUCUUCAAAUUCAAUAGCAAAGGAUAUUCACCCGGCUACUCAAUCUUCUCUCUUUCACUCCUUCAAGGCCUCUUUCAAGCUAAGAAGACUCCUUUCAAGGUUAUCCUUAUUCUUAUCUGCAGAUCGGAGUCGUUCACUUCUCUGUCGAAAGAGCGUAUUCUUUUAUUGCAGCUAAUUACAAAUCUCAAUCAGUCUUGUCUGUACACCAAUCCCAAUGGCUAAUUCGGCUCUUAAGCCUGGAACUCAAUCAAAAAUAAAUUAUCUUUUGUCGAAAUAAACUCUCCCCCGCCCAAUCUUUACAUUAGUGGGCGGACACCGCCCCAAUCCUAAAAAAGGAACGAAUCUUUCAAUUGCAGUCGACCACAAGAUAAAGAAAGCGAUUGAAGCAAGCAUGAGUAGUAUCCCCCCUCCUUCGUUGUGGGUCCCCCUCCCUUAAUUAUUUAUAAUAUCUCUUUGGCUAUCAACUCAAAGAGUAAAGCGGUGGUAAGAUAUGGAGGUUUUUAUCCCUCUCAGAGCUUUGAACUGACCGGCCUAUGAUAAUUUAGGGGGAAUUUAUAUAAAUAGCUGGUGCGCUUGUUUGCGUCCAAUCCGGAUGUGAAGUCCUUACUUGCAGCCCUAGGUAAGGCGCGGGUUUAGUCUUCCAAGUAAAGGUUACGAAGUAAAUGGACUUAUUUUGAUGGACUUACUUUCACUAUGCAUUCAUUCGUGCACUAUCUAAGAUCCGAUUCUCUAGCAACCUAUUUUUAAUAUUGAUUCAUCUUCCCAUCCUCUUCUUUCUAUCUCCGUAGUCAGUCUGGCUGCAUACUCCUUCUGGAUGAGUUCUGUGGCAAGCUGACGGAUUCUGCAACUUCUUAUCUUCCGAAAUAAGUUUUUAUUCUAAGAGCGGAUAUUUCAAAGAGAGCACCGGAUCUUGCAUGAAUGUGCACAUCCGAUUUGUUCACAUCUUGAAUAUGACCCUUUGCCAUAGACCAAUUGCCAGAGAUUGGCUAGCAUGAGGACAGAAAGGCUAAAAAGAGGUGGGACCUAGUUGAUUCUGCACUCCCUACCUUAAGAGGGGCAUAGCGUUUGCUAAAGGAAUGCUUACCGAGAAGCUUCCCUGGUCACGAGCGAAGGGGGAAAAGAAAUAGACUAUAAAGCACAGACAGCAUACGAGAUAAAGAUCUGAUUUGCUGGAACUGGAAAGAAAGAUCCUCUUUGCGGAAUCAAAGAGAAGAGCGGGGAAGACGGGAUAUUAGUUAAAAGAAAGAAGGUAUGAAAUCCUUAGCUCCACCACGUGUUAAGCAUACGAGAAUUGAGACUGCUACCAGCCCCGGGAAUUCCAUAGCUGUUAGCUCUGACCCCAUCCAAGGUACCUUGAAAUGACUAGGAGCUCGCAUGAACCCAUAUCAACCCAUCUUCAAUCAAGAGAACCGGAACUAGCUGGAAG